UGAUGGAUAAUGAUUUAAAUGACAUCGAUCAUGUAAGAGUUACACACUGGAGCGAUACAGAACUAGCUCCAAUUCAGCAAUGUAAUGCAGGCAUGUAUUCCGUAUAUAGUCAUACAUGCUUGUGAUAAGAACUUGUAUAACAUAUUUUGUCCUACCCUCCCAUGGCAGCGGGGUCCAUAAGGAAACUAAGGGCUAUUAAGGCCUCCUUUUAAUAGAGAACGGACACAAAACAUUAACAC
This 239-nucleotide long non-coding RNA is filed under the name Hordeum vulgare. RNAcentral's name for it is "long non-coding RNA (HVUL_LNC011555)". Lineage: Eukaryota; Viridiplantae; Streptophyta; Magnoliopsida; Poales; Poaceae. The record is from RNAcentral.